Molecule: long non-coding RNA, 567 nt
Filed under: Salmo salar (Atlantic salmon)
Lineage: Eukaryota; Metazoa; Chordata; Actinopteri; Salmoniformes; Salmonidae
Description: lncRNA (ENSSSAG00000098404.1)
Source: RNAcentral
UUGAAAAUGAAAUCAUCUCCAGAAUAUUGCUAUUUUUAAAACAAGCCAUAGAAAGUUGCUUGCAAUUUCAGUUUAAUCCACCAGAAAACACAAAAGAAAUAAUACAACAAAUAUAUUGGUUAAACUCAAAUACACUAAUUGAUUAAAACUUUUUUUUAAAUAAUUUAAAAGGUAUGAUUUUUGACACACAUGCAGCUAACAAAAAUAUAUGGAAAUAUCUGCUCUACCCAAAAUUACAACCAGCAUUACCGCAAAAAUGGAAGAGGAAAGUGGAAGGGGGAAAAAGUAAGGAACUUGUCUGUCGGCCCUGCAUUAAAGACCAUAAUUGACCAUCAGGCUCCAUGUUGUAGUUCAGGUAGUGACAUCAGGCUCCAUGUUGUAGUUCAGGUAGUGACAUCAGGCUCCAUGUUGUAGUUCAGGUAGUGACAUCAGGCUCCAUGUUGUAGUUCAGGUAGUGACAUCAGGCUCCAUGUUGUAGUUCAGAUAGUGACAUCAGGCUCCAUGUUGUAGUUCAGGUAGUGACAUCAGGCUCCAUGUUGUAGUUCAGAUAGUGACAUCAGGCUCCAU